UAUACAGUGAUUCUCAUAUGGAGACCUAUGGAAUAGCUGCAGUAGAACUAGAGAUGAGACCCAGUUAACCAGAGAGUCCUAUGGAAUAGCUGCAGUAGAACUAGAGAUGAGACCCAGUUAACCAGAGAGACCUAUGGAAUAGCUGCAGUAGAACUAGAGAUGAGACCCAGUUAACCAGAGAGACCUAUGGAAUAGCUGCAGUAGAACUAGAGAUGAGACCCAGUUAACCAGAGACCUAUGGAAUAGCUGCAGUAGAACUAGAGAUGAGACCCAGUUAACCAGAGAGACCUAUGGAAUAGCUGCAGUAGAACUAGAGAUGAGACCCAGUUAACCAGAGACCUAUGGAAUAGCUGCAGUAGAACUAGAGAUGAGACCCAGUUAACCAGAGAGUCCUAUGGAAUAGCUGCAGUAGAACUAGAGAUGAGACCCAGUUAACCAGAGUCCUAUGGAAUAGCUGCAGUAGAACUAGAGAUGAGACCCAGUUAACCAGAGAGACCUAUGGAAUAACUGCAGUAGAACUAGAGAUGAGACCCAGUUAACCAGAGUCCUAUGGAAUAGCUGCAGUAGAACUAGAGAUGAGACCCAGUUAACCAGAGAGUCCUAUGGAAUAGCUGCAGUAGAACUAGAGAUGAGACCCAGUUAACCAGAGUCCUAUGGAAUAGCUGCAGUAGAACUAGAGAUGAGACCCAGUUAACCAGAGUCCUAUGGAAUAGCUGCAGUAGAACUAGAGAUGAGACCCAGUUAACCAGAGAGUCCUAUGGAAUAGCUGCAGUAGAACUAGAGAUGAGACCCAGUAGUGUGUGUUAGUGAGAGAUAAUCUAAAAUGUUCUAGGUGUUUUACAUCUACUAAAAUGAAAGCAAGUUAGGUUGUACAGUUGUAUCUGGAACGUUUGGGGAUACAAGGAUCACCUCUAUAUAUAUAUAUAUAUAUAUAUAUAUAUAUAUAUAUAUAUAUUUAUUUGACUGAGGACGAUCUCUAUAGUUGAUUGCAGCAUGACAUCCUCUGUCGGUCACAAGAAAAGCGAUUUUCUCGUCACAUUUCACUCUUGAGAUGUCGUUAGCUAGCUACGUUAGAAGUAGUUCUCGAUGUAUAUGUGGGGACCGUGAAAUGCGAACAUAGUUUGUUUGUGGUCAUGAUUCGUCAUCGAUCUGCAUCCCUCCUCGUUCAUUCGUCGUGUUCUGUAUGUUGACGAUGCUGUGGGCAACAGUGCAUUGAAGUGCUGCUUUCUUGACUAGAAAUCACUUUUUAUUUUUUACACUUUAUUUUUUAUUUUUUGUAACUUUUAUUUUUUGGAGAAUCUCUUCUGACAGGUAAAACACUUCGAGCUGUAACACACGUGCAGUCAAUGAGUUGUUAAUGAUCGAUUACAGUGUGACGACCCCCCUUCCGUGUUAUAUGCACUCUUAUUGCUAUUGGUAAAUCACUCUAGGUAUGUACUGUAUCAUAACAGCCAGCUGAUAACAUGUCUGUUACUAAGCAACUUCAAAAUAAACCAGAUGGCUUAUUAUUGUUAUUAUUAUUAUUCAUCCGAGUUCAUUAUUUCCACCUUCUCCAUGUACAAAAAAAAAUAAAUAAUAACAAACAAACAAACAAGUUUAGAAAGGAAUACGAAUCGUGAUUUUUAUCGAAUGCUAAUUUUAUGUUGUCAGGCUAUUAAAGGAAAACGGUUCACUUCUUAUCCAGAGUGAAAUGAACUGUAUAAAGUAUUUAUGCAAAUAUUAACUGAGUUUUUCCAUUUUUUUUUUUUUAUGUCAGGAAGUUGUUACGUGUUGUGUGUGGAUUAACACAAAUGAUUUUGUGUCCAGUUGCAUUGAACAUGUUUUAUUUACAUUAUUAUUUUUGUUGUUUAUUUUUUGUUUUCGUGAUAUAUUUUUUUUUCCGGCGCAAUUGUCAGUCUUAUGAGUUUGUUUUUUAAGCCAUUAUUAACCCCCGAAGCGAUAGGUCGGUGUACAGUUACGAUGGGAGUGCUGGAGAUGUACCCCCAACUCUGGGUGGCCUUUUUCUAUUCUUUAUGGAAGAAGAAGAAAAAAUAAGGACUGAUCAAAUUUAAAUAAUGUAUUAUUUUUGAUGGUCUUGUAUUAGACUGCAUUACUACAGUAUCUAGUGUGCAAUCUGUGAUGAUAGCUGAAUGUUCAUUGUGCAUAUGUGUUCAGUACAACAAUGAGAAGAACCGUAGAAUAACCCCUACAGAAACUGUAACAAUAAUACAAUAGAUCUGGUACGUAUAAUUUCAUUAAAUACUUGCUGUUUACCACCAAUUAGA
This is a long non-coding RNA of Oncorhynchus keta (chum salmon), 2264 nucleotides long. RefSeq lists it as uncharacterized. The transcript has 2 exons. The record is from RefSeq and is a predicted model, not a curated record. Lineage: Eukaryota; Metazoa; Chordata; Actinopteri; Salmoniformes; Salmonidae.